UGUCUGAAGGAUAGGUGCCUGUAUGGCUCUC
RNAcentral lists this non-coding RNA (31 nucleotides) under Rattus norvegicus (Norway rat). The record is from RNAcentral. Lineage: Eukaryota; Metazoa; Chordata; Mammalia; Rodentia; Muridae.